AAACACUACUUCUACAGUUCUAUCUAAGCAUCUUGCACUUUUCCCCUCAACUGCAGUCUCUUUGAAAACUUACAAAAGAAGAUGGCAAAUGCUCGUAUUGCUAGGUUUGUUACAGAGGUAGCACCACCACAAUUUGUAAAUGUCAUGAGAAACCGAGCCUCAAAGAUGCUAGAAACCAUCAAAGAGGAGGAGAGAGAAGCUAGCACAAGCGAGUCACUUUCUCUGAAGAAUUAUUCCACUUCAUCAUCUUCAGCUUAUUCUGCUUCAUCAUCAAAUGCAAAAAGUUCUAAAUAUUUUCUCAAAGAAGUUCAGAGGUCGUUUUCUGCAUUUGGCAGCUAAAGUAUAUACUCUAGCUUGCUAAGAAUGCUUUAAAUUUUUGACCAGUGUAUUGAUUCCUUUUCUUUUCCUUCAGCAAAUUCUCUCUCAGUAAG
Molecule: unclassified non-coding RNA, 431 nt
Filed under: Hevea brasiliensis (rubber tree)
Lineage: Eukaryota; Viridiplantae; Streptophyta; Magnoliopsida; Malpighiales; Euphorbiaceae
Source: RNAcentral